GUCAUUGUGUUUAUAGUAAAUAUCAGUUAUUAAUAUUUUCCAACUUCAUCUAUAUACCUACCUCCCUAUACGGAAGUUAACAUUUAUCCAGUCUCCAAACGAGCUCUAGCCACUCUGUCAUUGCCCUGGCUAUCCCUUUCCCUGGGCUCAAAUUUCAGCAGAUGUGCACAUCUAUGACAUUAUGAAAGCAUCUACACCAGUUUCCCUCAAAAUUCUUGAGCAUCCUGAGGCAAAGGAAACAAAAGUAAAAGUGAACUAUUGGGAC
Long non-coding RNA from Herpailurus yagouaroundi (jaguarundi), 265 nucleotides. RefSeq lists it as uncharacterized. The record is from RefSeq and is a predicted model, not a curated record. The transcript has 3 exons. Lineage: Eukaryota; Metazoa; Chordata; Mammalia; Carnivora; Felidae.